UUCAGAGGGGGAUAACGGCUGGAAACGGUCGCUAAUACCGCAUGACGUGUUCGGAUGGCAUCAUCUGAACAUCAAAGAUUUAUCGCUGAAAGAUGGGCUCGCGUCUGAUUAGAUAGUUGGUGGGGUAACGGCCUACCAAGUCGACGAUCAGUAGCCGGACUGAGAGGUUGAACGGCCACAUUGGGACUGAGAUACGGCCCAGACUCCUACGGGAGGCAGCAGUGGGGAAUAUUGCACAAUGGGGGAAACCCUGAUGCAGCAACGCCGCGUGAAGGAUGACGGUUUUCGGAUUGUAAACUUCUUUUCUUAGUGACGAAGACAGUGACGGUAGCUAAGGAAUAAGCAUCGGCUAACUACGUGCCAGCAGCCGCGGUAAUACGUAGGAUGCAAGCGUUAUCCGGAUUUACUGGGUGUAAAGGGAGCGCAGGCGGGACUGCAAGUUGGAUGUGAAAUACCGUGGCUUAACCACGGAACUGCAUCCAAAACUGUAGUUCUUGAGUGAAGUAGAGGCAAGCGGAAUUCCGAGUGUAGCGGUGAAA
This 539-nucleotide ribosomal RNA is filed under the name uncultured bacterium. RNAcentral describes it as "bacterial SSU rRNA". It matches the Rfam family "Bacterial small subunit ribosomal RNA", at positions 132 to 686 of the family's 1533-position model. The record is from RNAcentral.